GAUCACGGUGAUGACUCCAUAAAAUUCAAGCUCAACAGACCGGAAUGCAGAGCUUUCUCUCUUUGUGGAGAUUGCCAUGCGUGUCGAUUACCCCGCUGAACUGAGUGAUC
Glycine max (soybean) is the source of this 110-nucleotide non-coding RNA. The record is from Rfam. Lineage: Eukaryota; Viridiplantae; Streptophyta; Magnoliopsida; Fabales; Fabaceae.